Molecule: ribosomal RNA, 265 nt
Filed under: uncultured bacterium
Lineage: Bacteria
Description: partial 16S ribosomal RNA
Rfam family: Bacterial small subunit ribosomal RNA
Source: RNAcentral
GCAAGUCGAACGCGAAAGUACCCUUCGGGGUGCGAGUAGAGUGGCGCACGGGUGAGUAACGCGUAGAUAAUCUACCUCCAUAUCUGGGAUAACCACUCGAAAGGGUGGCUAAUACCGGAUACCCUUUAUCGGUAGCGAUACUGAUAGAGGAAAGGUGACCUCUCGAUGAAGUUGCCGUAUGGAGAUGAGUCUGCGUACCAUUAGCUAGUAGGUAAGGUAACGGCUUACCUAGGCAACGAUGGUUAGCGGGUCUGAGAGGAUGAUC